Molecule: long non-coding RNA, 1515 nt
Organism: Mobula hypostoma (lesser devil ray)
Lineage: Eukaryota; Metazoa; Chordata; Chondrichthyes; Myliobatiformes; Myliobatidae
Exons: 5
Source: RefSeq, a predicted model, not a curated record
CUGAAAGUUAAUGGUAAAUCUUUGUAGUGCAGCAUAAUGCCUGUUGCAACAAUCUGCUGUGUCAGUGCUGCGUGCAUACUGAAGUGACUGAACCCAAUGCUCGGGCGUUGACUUAGGUUCCAGGCCCGAUAGAAAAGACCUUCCAGGCCUUCAAACCUCGCUGCCCAGCAAACCUCUGAUUUAAUCCGAAUCACAGGACGAUUUACAAUGACCAAUUAAUCUACCAAUUGGUACUAACAGCAAAAAAAAACCACAAGAAAUCCUGGACGAACUCAGCAAAUCUGGUAACAUCUAUGCAGAGGAAUAAACAGUCGACGUUUUGGGCUGAGACCCUUCAUCAGACUGUGGAUGACCACGGCGUGUUCGUGCCCUUCACUCUCUAUGGAGUGUUACAGUACCGCCUUCUUAGUCGGUGGAUUUCACUGCAGGUCUCAUCCUCCCGGUCCGCUGGAGCUGGCUUCACAUGCUGGGACAGACCGGGGUAUGAGGCUGCCGGCUACCCCCACUGUGGUUUAGCAUGCUUGUUGGAGCUGUGUACCCAGGUGGCUGCUGUUCCAAGCAAACAGCUACAUGGAGCCACAGAUCAUGUAUUGCAUUGAACUGCUGCUGCUAAGUUAUCAAAUUUCACGUCACAUGCCGGUGAUAAUAAAUCUAAUUCUGAUUUAUCUGUUUAUGUAUAAUUUUUGUAAAUACUAUGGUAUUUCUUUUUUCCCCCUGUAAUUUGUCAUAAGAAAAUGAAUCUGAAGGCAGUAAAUGGUAACACAUAUGUACUUUGAUAAUAAAUUUACUUUGUACUCAUAUUUUAUCAUUAGAAAUAAGCAGCACUUUGAGCAAAAGAUGUAGAAUGGGGUCUCCUGAAGAGCUGUCAUAAGUAUGGGUACAGAGUAUUGGAAGGGAAUGCACGUUAUGUUGGAAUGAUUUAUGAUGAUUUAUUUAUUGAGGCUCUCCGCUGGUCGAGGUUGACCAUGGAUGUUGCGUCUUAGUGGUCUACAUGAUAUGUAAAUAAUACGAUAUGGAGAGCAGGCUAUAGCCCAAGCAGCAAGCUCCCUCUCUCCACACAGCUGCUGAAUCUAAAAGAACGGCAGAGACCGAUACAGUUUGGCACCAGCGGCGUUGCAGGAGUUGCCAGUCAGCAUUUAGCUCACUGCCUUAGGGACUCCAGAUCCAGAUUUUUCCCUCGGGGUUUACUCUUGAAGCUUUCCCCGUGAGUGGGUAUGGCUGCAAGGCAGCGGAGGUUUGAAAUCAGAGUUUUCCUUUUCCUAGAUGGGCUGCCAACCACUGCUGAUGAACUGCAUCUGUCUGAAGUGACUGCCAGUAACCAAGCCUGCUCCCUUUCUCCUGUCAGAAAAACAGUUCCACUGGGCUUAGUAGCUAGACUUAGUUGUCAGAGGCUAUUUGAGACAUAAGCCAUUGAGAACAUUUAAUGGGUAGUGGGAGCUUAUACCCACUACCAAUCCUGGCUAUGACAAAUCUUAAGGAACCAAGCUUAUUGAUUGGUACAUGCAUUAAGGAGAA